CUCGUAGGGCCGCUAUUGCUUGGAAGCAGCAUGGGAAUGGAGAUCGCCGCGAUCGGGCGAUUGGUUUUCCUCGCUCGCCAUCUCCUCCCUCCCCAAAAUCGUCUCCCGGGACCCUUAUCUGAAUCCCAUCGGUUCGUCGGAAUCGACUCCGCGGGCUCACCCUCUGUCAUGGAUAGUUUUGAACAUCGACGCCAAGCCGUACACCGACCUCGCUACCGGCAACGCUGAUCCUGACUUUUCCCGUGCUUUCAGCCUUUGAGGUGAAGCAUUGAUAGACAUCGUUGGUGUGACUGCAUCCUGCUAAGAAUUAAAUCAUGAAACUUGGUGGUGAUUUGCAAGAGAGAGAGGUAUAAGCAGGCCUGAAAGUAUUUAGCAGCAAAGUGCACUCAGAUUUUUUUUCCUGGCAUGAACAUCUCAUCACUCUGAAUGGAUAAGGUUGUCAAGAAAGGUUGUGGAUGGAAUUGCUGCCCCAUCCUUUGUACCUCACAUGGGAGACUUCAGAAGCAUACUUCAUUGCUGGUGCUUGUGAGAAACUCAGUGCAAACAGAAACAAGGAAGGACUCCAUUAACAAUGGAUAAGGUUGUCAAGAAAGGUUGUGGAUGGAAUUGCUGCCCCAUCCUUUGUACCUCACAUGGGAGACUUCAGAAGCAUACUUCAUUGCUGGUGCUUGUGAGAAACUCAGUGCAAACAGAAACAAGGAAGGACUCCAUUAACAAUGCUUUGAAGAGCCAUUCAUGUACCCUCCAAAAGGACCUCAAGAGACUCACUCGAAUCUGGUGCACAUGAGAAACCAAGUACAAGUAGCAUCAAUAUAACUGCUAUAUCUCUACCCUAGGGAAAACCUUCUUGGACAAAUAGAAGCGUGGAAUCUUAAUUGAGUUGAAGUAGCCAGUGACCAUAACAUCCUUUCACAAGGUGGAAUGGAUGAGGUCCUGGCUAAGUUCAAGAAGGGCAAAGGACAGGGCAAGAAUACAUCACAAGAAUGAUCUAAUGACAGGAAAUGUGAUCAUUAAUGAAAUUUUACAGAAAAAGAAAGAAAAGAAUCCAACUCUCAUUGGUUUCCCUUUUCUGUCUAGUUGGUGUGUGAUCAUCCGAGAUGCAAAACUUCAGUUGCUUGCUCCCCGGAUAGACAAGCAAAUGACCUCAAAAGUACUGAAAGGCCUUGGAUAACUCAACCAUAUGAGUUUUGUUAUUGGAUGAAACCUUGAUAAUGCUUUUUGUUAUGAUUGUAGUAUCUCAAGUUUCAUGUGUUUGGAUGAGUGCAGUUUGUCUGUUGUCAUCCUGUGUUUGAAGUUUUCAUCCCGGAAUAAAAAAAAUCAAAUUUGUA
Molecule: long non-coding RNA, 1328 nt
Organism: Musa acuminata AAA Group (dessert banana)
Lineage: Eukaryota; Viridiplantae; Streptophyta; Magnoliopsida; Zingiberales; Musaceae
Exons: 3
Source: RefSeq, a predicted model, not a curated record